This 785-nucleotide ribosomal RNA is filed under the name uncultured bacterium. RNAcentral's name for it is "bacterial SSU rRNA". It matches the Rfam family "Bacterial small subunit ribosomal RNA", at positions 40 to 834 of the family's 1533-position model. The record is from RNAcentral.
CGACGGGGUCUUAGUGCGGAAGUUUUCGGAUGGAAGGAUUAAGACUUAGUGGCGGACGGGUGAGUAACGCGUGGGUAACCUGCCCUGUACAGGGGGAUAACAGUUGGAAACGGCUGCUAAAACCGCAUAACAUGGAGAUACCGCAUGAUAUUUCCAUCAAAUAUUUAUAGGUACAGGAUGGGCCCGCGUCUGAUUAGCCAGUUGGCAGGGUAAUGGCCUACCAAAGCGACGAUCAGUAGCCGGCUUGAGAGAGUGACCGGCCACAUUGGGACUGAGACACGGCCCAAACUCCUACGGGAGGCAGCAGUGGGGGAUAUUGCACAAUGGGGGAAACCCUGAUGCAGCGACGCCGCGUGAGUGAAGAAGUAUUUCGGUAUGUAAAGCUCUAUCGGCAGGGAAGAAAAAGCGCGCGAGCGCCCUUGACAGUACCUGACUAAGAAGCCCCGGCUAACUACGUGCCAGCAGCCGCGGUAAUACGUAGGGGGCAAGCGUUAUCCGGAUUUACUGGGUGUAAAGGGAGCGUAGGCGGCCACGCAAGUCAGAAGUGAAAACCCGGGGCUCAACCCUGGGAGUGCUUUUGAAACUGUGCGGCUAGAGUGUCGGAGGGGUAAGUGGAAUUCCUAGUGUAGCGGUGAAAUGCGUAGAUAUUAGGAGGAACACCAGUGGCGAAGGCGGCUUACUGGACGAUGACUGACGCUGAGGCUCGAAAGCGUGGGGAGCAAACAGGAUUAGAUACCCUGGUAGUCCACGCCGUANACGAUGAAUACUAGGUGUCGNGGGUCAUA